GAUGAACGCUGGCGGCGUGCCUAAUACAUGCAAGUCGAGCGAACAGAUGAGGAGCUUGCUCCUCUGACGUUAGCGGCGGACGGGUGAGUAACACGUGGAUAACCUACCUAUAAGACUGGGAUAACUUCGGGAAACCGGAGCUAAUACCGGAUAAUAUAUUGAACCGCAUGGUUCAAUAGUGAAAGACGGUUUUGCUGUCACUUGUAGAUGGAUCCGCGCCGCAUUAGCUAGUUGGUAAGGUAAAGGCUUACCAAGGCAACGAUGCGUAGCCGACCUGAGAGGGUGAUCGGCCACACUGGAACUGAGACACGGUCCAGACUCCUACGGGAGGCAGCAGUAGGGAAUCUUCCGCAAUGGGCGAAAGCCUGACGGAGCAACGCCGCGUGAGUGAUGAAGGUCUUCGGAUCGUAAAACUCUGUUAUUAGGGAAGAACAAAUGUGUAAGUAACUAUGCACGUCUUGACGGUACCUAAUCAGAAAGCCACGGCUAACUACGUG
Molecule: ribosomal RNA, 497 nt
Filed under: uncultured bacterium
Lineage: Bacteria
Description: partial 16S ribosomal RNA
Rfam family: Bacterial small subunit ribosomal RNA
Source: RNAcentral